UAGAGUUCUGCUGCACAGUUUUUAUUCCAUCAGUGAGAAGUUAGUCAGGUCUUGACCAGUCUCAUCCUCAAGCAUAUCAUCAGUUGUCUCUGCAGCUGCUUCAAUAAAGCAGGCUAAGACUUACAUGGAGCCCCAUCCUGUCCUCAGGAAGUUCCUGGAAUGUAGGCCAGUCAGUCAUUUCAAUCUAACAAAAAAUGGAUAACAUUUGUUUGAAUGGAUCUGGGCUUAAAACUGGUUGAAAAUAUUAGCAAACGUCCAUGCGAUUCACUAAACAGCCACAGACACUUUUGGCCAAGCUCAAGGACAUCCUGUGCAAAACGGACUAAGCAACAGCUCUGCAGAGAAAAGCACUGAACACCCACAGCAGAAUAGCUCGCUUGUUUCAAAGAAAAUUCCACUCCUUCCUCUCUGGAUUUGAAGUUCCCUCUUUUAGGAGAUUUAGAACUAAAGCUAUUCUCUCAUCCAUGGUUUGG
Molecule: long non-coding RNA, 473 nt
Organism: Lagopus leucura (white-tailed ptarmigan)
Lineage: Eukaryota; Metazoa; Chordata; Aves; Galliformes; Phasianidae
Exons: 5
Source: RefSeq, a predicted model, not a curated record